UGAAAGCAGCACAAACAUAAAAAUUAGAUAUAAGUUUCGCUGGUUGACAAUUAAGAGUUAAAAAAAUUUAAUAAAACUUUGCUAAUGCUAUUUCGGGUGCUACAGCACAUCAAAUCACACUGUGAAGCAAAUUCAAAUAUUAAGAAAAUUGAAAACAAAUAUGAAAUUCAUAAGUUUAGCAAUUGAAGACAUGUUACAACUCUGGUUAAAAAAAACAACUGUAUUGUAAUUAACAGCUAUUUUGCUAAUUCUGAUAACGUACUAUAUUAAUAACUUCACAACAGUAAUCUUCUUCUACAUAGUAAAUUCUAUAUCGAUAUAAAAAUCAUACCUUUCUUAUGGAGUAAAAUUUCGAGAGAAGAUGCUAUAGAACAAUUCCAGAAAUAAAAUAUACGUAAUAUGGUUGUGUUUAUCAGAUUCUGUCACUUGUUGUUGGUCUAGCGUAUCCCUUUUCAAAUGAUUUUAUAAUAUCAUGGGAUGAUAAUAAUGUGUAAGAUUGUGGAUGGAGAAGUUAAGGAGAUGGUUGGAAAGUGUAUAUGGUUGUGCAGGAGUGGCAGAAGGUGGGGGUUAAUGGGAGAGGUUUGCG
This 586-nucleotide long non-coding RNA is filed under the name Nicotiana benthamiana. RNAcentral's name for it is "long non-coding RNA (NBEN_LNC002502)". Lineage: Eukaryota; Viridiplantae; Streptophyta; Magnoliopsida; Solanales; Solanaceae. The record is from RNAcentral.